CUACGGGCGGCUCCAGUGAGGAAUAUUGCACAAUGGGGGGAACCCUGAUGCAGCAACGCCGCGUGGAGGAUGACGCAUUUCGGUGUGUAAACUCCUUUUAUAUGUCAGGAAAAUGACGGUAGCAUAUGAAUAAGCACCGGCUAACUCCGUGCCAGCAGCCGCGGUAAUACGGAGGGUGCAAGCGUUACUCGGAAUCACUGAGCGUAAAGGACGCGUAGGCGGGUUGGAAAGUCAGGUGUGAAAUCCUACAGCUUAACUGUAGAACUGCACUUGAAACUUCUAAUCUAGAGUAUGGGAGGGGGAGAUGGAAUUAGUGGUGUAGGGGUAAAAUCCGUAGAUAUCACUAGGAAUACCUAAAGCGAAGGCGAUCUCCUGGAACAUUACUGACGCUAAGGCGUGAAAGCGUGGGGAGCAAACAGGAUUAGAUACCCGCGUAGUC
Molecule: ribosomal RNA, 439 nt
Filed under: uncultured bacterium
Lineage: Bacteria
Description: partial 16S ribosomal RNA
Rfam family: Bacterial small subunit ribosomal RNA
Source: RNAcentral